CUAAAAGUAUUCUUCAAAAAUUCAAAAUCAUGGAUUGCAGAUAUUAUGUUUGCAGCUAGUUUAUUAUCCCGAUUCAUGCAAGAACCAAGUCAAGUGCAUUUUGGAGCUGCAAAGCGUGUUCUACGCUACUUGCAAGGAACAAUGGAUUAUGGGAUAACAUACAAAUUCGGUGGAGAUUUGAACUUAAUUAGUUAGAUAACAUGAAGAGUACUUCUGAUUAUGCUUUCUUAUUUGGAUCAAGUAUUUAUUCAUGGUAAUCAAAAAAGCAAAGUGUUGUUGCUUAAUCCGUUGCUUAAGCAGAAUAUGUUUCAACAUCCAAGGCUGCUUCUCAAGCUAUUUAGUUUAGGAGAACAUUUGAAGACAUUGGUGAAAAACAAAAAAAGAGGUUAUUGUUCUGUAUUGUGAUACAAAUAAGCAAUUGUAAUUGCCAAGAAUCCAGUCAUCCAUGAAAGAUCAAAGCAUAUUUCCAUCAAGUAUCGUUUUAUUUGAGAAGCAUAGGAGAAAGGCAAAAUUUAGUUGCAUUUUUGUUAGACAGGAGAACAACUUGCUGACAUCUUUACCAAAGCAUUUCCUACAGAAAAAAUUUGCUAUAUUCGAGAACGCGUUGGAAUUAUUAAGCAAAUUCAUUAAGGAGGAGUGUUGGAAUUAAUGCAUCAAUGUUUAGUCUUCCGAAAUUGUCUCUUAGAUUUUCAAGAAUUCUCUUUAGAAUUUCGCAGUACAUGAAUCUAGUAAAUUGUGAUACAUCUAUCUAGUUAUUUAUGAAAGAUUUUUUAUUUUCUAUUUUGAGUAGUAUAAAUAGUGAUGUAGUUGAUGAUUGUAAUCAUCUCAAGUGGCCUUAAGUAGCCUAUAAUAAACUUGAGCAUUCUCUAAAGAUACUAUUUCCUUUCA
Molecule: non-coding RNA, 888 nt
Organism: Solanum lycopersicum (tomato)
Lineage: Eukaryota; Viridiplantae; Streptophyta; Magnoliopsida; Solanales; Solanaceae
Source: RefSeq, a predicted model, not a curated record